This 2042-nucleotide long non-coding RNA is filed under the name Macaca fascicularis (crab-eating macaque). Its description in RNAcentral is "lncRNA (ENSMFAG00000047822.1)". Lineage: Eukaryota; Metazoa; Chordata; Mammalia; Primates; Cercopithecidae. The record is from RNAcentral.
GUCUUAAAUAACAUUGUUAGAGCUGCUGAAAGGAAAUGGACAAAUUUUUGAAUGUUUGGUAGACAUAGCCAAACCUUUUAUUGGUACAAUAAGAUCACAUCCUUGGCAUGUUACCCAAAAGGAAGACAGAUGCCUUCUUUAUGAAGAAAAUGAGAUGUACUGAGGAAGACACUACUCUGUAACCAGUGCGGUAAUGUAACUAGCACUUUAAAUUCAAAUUUGGAGUAAAACAAGGAGCACCGUUAUUUUUCUGUCUUUUUGACUGUGACUUUGGAACCACACUCAUUCAUGAACUAGAAAUGGGAGACAUAGUUACAUUAAACAACACACCUGAAAAAGUUACUUACCAAUGACCUGGUAAUUAUUGAAAAUGGUUAUAUAUUCAAGAAUAUUUGUACUGAGUGCUGUGGCUCAUGCCUGUAAUCCCAGUACUUUGGGAGGCUGAGGUAGGAGGAUUGCUUGAGCCCAGGAGUUGAGACCAGCCUGGACAACAGAGUGAGACCCUGUCUGUACAGAAAAUAAAAAAAAAAAAUUAACUGGACCUGGUGUGAAUGCCUGUAGUCCCAGCUGUUUGAGAGGCUGAGGCAAGAGAAUGGUGUGAACCCGGAAGGUGGAGCUUGCCGUAAGCCAAGAUAGCACCACUGCACUCCAACCUGGGCGAUAGAGCGAGACCCUGUCCCAAAAAUAAAUAAAUAAAUAAAUAGCAUGGAGGGGGUAGGGCAGGAGAAAUUUGAGAGAAUUCUCUGUGUAAUUCAGUAUUAAGAAUUAAUUGAACUCAGUAUAAAUUUACAUACUACCUUAAAGAGAUUUAACUGUUUGUUUAAAGAGGUAUAUUUGAGUACAUCAAAUACUUUAAAAAUAUACCCUUUUCUCAAAAUACUAGCCACAUAGAUGCAACAUGAUGGAAAACUGGCUUUGUGCCAUUUAAAAAAUGUUACAAAAAUGUUUGUGUCAUUUAAAAAAAGUAUAUAGUUGAAUAAGUUAGUUUCUUUUUUUAAGAGAUAGAGUCUUGCUAUGUUGUCCAGGCUGACCUUAAACUCCUGGGCUCUAGCAAUCCUCCUGCUUCAGCCUCCCAAGCAACUGGGACUACAAGUACACCCCACCUUGCCUGGUUAGUUUAUAUACGUUUUUGUCAAAUGUUUACACUUACAUAAACACCACCCCCAAUCAGUAUACAGAACAUUUUUGCCACUCUAGAAAAGUUUCCUCCUCAUGCUGUCUUGUCUGUCUUCAUCAUUCUAUUGUGAUUUUUACCACCAUAAAUUUUAUCUUUUCUAGAACUCCACAUUUUAUUUUCUAUCUAACUUCUUUUGCUCACCAUGCUUUGGAGAUUCAUCCAUGACAUGUGUAUCAGAAAUGUAUUCUUUUUUAUUGCUGAGUAGUAUUCCAUUGUAUGAAUAUCACAAUUUUAAAAAUCUAUUCUUAUGCUGACAGAUAUGUAGGAUGUGUCCAGGUUUUGUCUAUUUAAAAAUUGGGGGUAGUUUGUAGCUAUGUCAUAAACCCCAGUGUGCUUUCUUUCUCCUUUUUUCUGUCUAGCAGGGCUUGUGAAGCAAGCAUUUGCCCUGCAGUUAAGGGCUGGUUUCCAGGCGCUUAUAACUAAGACCACCACAAAGAGAACAGAAAACAAAACUAAAGUGAGCCCGCCAAGUCCCAGGCGGACGCCUCAAGAGUUCAGAUCUUGGGCACAGAACGACAGGCCUGCAAAUUGAAAACUCCCUUUACAGAAAGAAAAAAAAAAGAGCUAAGCAUUGAGAGAGCUCAGGGUACCCAAUUAGAGACCAAGAGAGCCACUACCACAUUGGAUCAAAUCACAGCAGUUGCUUUGAGACAGAGAGGUUACUGAAAACGCUGAGCCUUGACUAUACUGAGAGUGAGGAGGGGCACUUCCUCUCCCCAGCAGCCUUGCAGCAAAUGUCCCUGAAGUGCCUUAUCUGGGCUUCCUUCUGCAGAGGCUUCAGGCUAAGGAGUACUAGGAUAUACUCUUAAAGUACUUCCCUAACUGCUUUUCCAACAUGAGCUACAGUUUAAAAAAAAAAAAAAAA